Molecule: ribosomal RNA, 378 nt
Filed under: uncultured eukaryote
Lineage: Eukaryota
Description: SSU rRNA
Rfam family: Eukaryotic small subunit ribosomal RNA
Source: RNAcentral
AACUCCAAUAGCGUAUAUUAAAGUUGCUGCGGCUAAGAAGCUCGUAGUUGGAUUUCUGCCGAGGACGACCGGUCCGCCCUCUGGGUGAGUAUCUGGCUCGGCCUGGGCAUCUUCUUGGAGAACGUAGCUGCACUUGACUGUGCGGUGCGGUAUCCAGGACUUAUACUUUGAGGAAAAUAGAGUGUUUCAAGCAGGCACGCGCCUUGAAUACAUUAGCAUGGAAUAAUAAUAUAGGACCUCGGUUUUGUUUUGUUGGUUUCUAGAGCUGAGGUAAUGAUUAAUAGGGAUAGUUGGGGGCAUUCGUAUUUAACUGUCAGAGGUGAAAUUCUCUGAUGUGUUAAAGACGGACUACUGCGAAAGCAUUUGCCAAGGAUGUUU